UUCCGGUUGAUCCUGCCGGACCCGACCGGUAUCGGGGUGGGGCUAAGCCAUGCAAGUCGUACGUCCUCCAGCCACGUGGGGGACGUGGCGCACGGCUCAGUAGUACGCAGCUAACCUACCCUAAGGAGGGGGAUAAUCCCGGGAAACUGGGGCUAAUCCCCCAUAGACCGGGGGUACUGGAAGGUCCUCAGGUCGAAACGGGUGAGCUGGCAUGCCAGCUCACCUGCCUUAGGAUGGGGCUGCGUCCGAUCAGGUAGUUGGUGGGGUAAAGGCCCACCAAGCCUAUGACCGGUGCGGGCUCUGAGAGGAGGAGCCCGGAGAUGGACCCUGAGACAAGGGUCCAGGCCCUACGGGGCGCAGCAGGCGCGAAACCUUCGCAAUGCCCGAAAGGGUGACGAGGCUACCCCGAGUGUCGUCCGCUAAGGACGACUUUUGUCGGGUCUAAAAAGCCCGACGAAUAAGGGGAGGGCAAGUCUGGUGUCAGCCGCCGCGGUAAUACCAGCUCCCCGACUGGUCGGGACGAUUAUUGGGUCUAAAGCGUCCGUAGCCGGCCCUGUAUGUGGUCCGUUAAAUCCAGCGGCUCAACCGCUGGGCUGCGGAUCAUACUACGGGGCUAGGGGACGGGAGAGGCCGGGGGUACUCCGCGGGUAGGGGUAAAAUCCGCUGAUCCGCGGAAGACCAACAGUGGCGAAGGCGCCCGGCCAGAACGCGCCCGACGGUGAGGGACGAAAGCCAGGGGAGCGAACCGGAUUAGAUACCCGGGUAGUCCUGGCCGUAAACGAUGCCCGCUAGGUCUUGGUGAAGCUUAGGGUUUCACCAGGGCCGCAGGGAAGCCGUUAAGCGGGCCACCUGGGGAGUACGGCCGCAAGGCUGAAACUUAAAGGAAUUGGCGGGGGAGCACCACAAGGGGUGAAGCCUGCGGUUUAAUUGGAGUCAACGCCGGG
This 944-nucleotide ribosomal RNA is filed under the name uncultured archaeon. RNAcentral's name for it is "bacterial SSU rRNA". It matches the Rfam family "Archaeal small subunit ribosomal RNA", at positions 1 to 922 of the family's 1478-position model. The record is from RNAcentral.